RNAcentral lists this ribosomal RNA (3378 nucleotides) under Triticum aestivum (bread wheat). Its description in RNAcentral is "partial small subunit ribosomal RNA". The record is from RNAcentral. Lineage: Eukaryota; Viridiplantae; Streptophyta; Magnoliopsida; Poales; Poaceae.
AUGGAGGAAGCAGCGUAUCCCGUUGGUUUGGAUCCUGCAAGGCUGGCGGAGGCGCCGCGGCUGGUCGGCUCGGUUUCUCGGGCCAUCGAGGGACUGGCCACCGAGAUCCAAUCGCGCGGCGGCCUGCACGGCCACGUCUCCCGGGCGUGGGGGCGCGGCUGGAAGGCGCCCUUCCCGGAGCUGGAGGUGCUCAAGGUCCACAUGCUCAAGAUCUGGUUCAUCUCCGCCGACGCCGACCCGCCGCGUGCCGGUGACAAGGCGCUGGCUAAGCAAGCCAGAGACGCCACCUAUUUGGUGGAUGGACUUCAGGACAUGAUUCAGUACAGUAUGCUUCUAUCCUACCUAGCCCCGCGCGCCAAGAUUCAAUUCAAGCUGCUUUCCGCUCUGAGGUGCCUGCUUGCUUUCGGGUUUUCAAAUCCAAACAAGAUCUUGAGGGGCAUCAAACUUGUGAAUGAAGAAACUCGCAGGCUUGGCCAUCUGCUGGAAAAGGAAAAGGCCGCUGGCAAUCCUCUGCCGCCGCCACCUUAUUCGGGCAAGCAAGUUCUUCAGAGGGGGCUAGUAUUUGGGCGCCACAAGGAUGCCAAUGAAAUCGUGCAGAUGCUCAUCCAGCCGUGCGGUAAGCCUGCAACUGAGAGGAUUGUCUCCAUUGUUGGUCCGGGGGGCAUCGGGAAGACCACGCUGGCUCAGAUGGUAUCCAAUGAUGCAAGAGUCAGGCUGCAUUUUGAUGUCACAUGUUGGGUAUCCCUUUCCAGUGUUUCUAGCAAAGUGGAGCUUGCUGCAGAGAUCUUAAGGUUGGCUCACCCAGCUUGGGACGGGUCUGCUGAGAAGAUGCUGGAUUUUCAGAUGCUUCAGUCUGAGCUCCAUCGGUUUGUUACAUCCAAAAGGUAUCUCAUUAUUCUAGAUGAUGUUUGUUGUAGCAGCACGGAUGAAUCCUGGCUGGACAUGUUCACUCCUCUACAGUCUGCAGAUAUUGGGAGCAGAGUUUUGGUGACUUCUCGCACCAACACCGUGCCUCACAUGCUGGGUGCAUCACAGAUGUACAAUGUAAACCCGCUUACUAGUGACGACUGCUGGGCCCUGCUUAAGGAACAUGCUUUUCCGAGUGAUACCGAGGAUGUCCAUCCAGAUCUUGAGCUGGUCGGGAGGAAAAUUGCUGCAAAAAUCAGUGGAUUACCUUUGGCUGCCAAGUUGCUGGGAGGGGUGCUAAGAGCUUCAAGGAGUGAGUCACACUGGAUGAAUAUCUUGGAAACAGAACUGCAAGACAACACUGUUUCCCCCGCUAUGCACUUGAGCUAUAAGUACCUGCCAGCACACCUCAAGCGAUGCUUUGCAUACUGCAGUUUGUUUCGACAUGCUUAUAAGUUUGAUCCAGCACACUUGUCCCGUCUUUGGAUUGCCGAGGGUUUUGUUCAACUGCAAGGCAGGGCUGACAAAAGGAUGGAAGACAUAGCUAGAGAAUAUUUUGAUCUGCUCCUUUCACGCUCUUUUUUUCAGGAAAUCAAGCUUGGACCCAAGACAUACUACUUGAUGCACAGUUUACUGCAUGAUCUUGCAAAGUCUGUUGCAGCGGAGGACUGCUUCCAUAUUGAAGAUGGCAUGAAAUGUGACAUCCCAUCAACAGUGCGCCAUUUGUCGGUCACUUUGCACAGUCUACCUGCUCUCACGAGCUUCCGUGGGCUAGAGGAGCUGCGCACCUUGUUAAUCCGACCAUCAAUUACGUCCUCCUCCAGCACCUUCCUGGAGGAUUUUGCUGUGAAUUUAAAAAGUAUCCUGGAGAAGUCAAAGCAUUUGCGUGUUCUUGAUCUCAGCGGCUAUAACUCCAAAGAGUUGCCUUAUUGCAUCUAUGAAUUGCUGCACCUCCGUUACCUAUCUAUCCAUGGCUCCAUCCAAAGACUAUCUGAGUCCAUUGCCAAGCUUCUGCAUCUGCAAACAUUGUGCAUCACUGGAAAAUGUUCCCUUGAGAAGCUUCCUGCGAGCAUUAGUAUCUUGGUCAAUCUGCGGCAUCUUAUGGUUGAAAUAAAGUAUACUGCAGGAUUGGUAGGCAUUGGCCAGCUGACAAACAUGCAGGGAUCACUUGAGCUCCGCAUUGAGAAGAGGGAAGGACAUAAACUAGAAGAGCUGAAGAACAUCAAUGGUCUUCGUGGGCUACUAAAAAUAAAAGGUCUAGAAAAUGUUUCAAGCUAUGAAGAAGCCUGCAAAGCUGAGUUGAAUAAGAAACUUCAUCUUAAUUCUCUGAAUUUGGAAUGGAGCUCCGCUAGUAGAAAUAGCUCCCCUUGUGCUGAUGCAAAGGUACUUGAAGGUCUGCAGCCUCACCAAGACAUCAAGGUACUUCAUAUUAGAAGAUAUUGUGGCACCAAAGCUCCCAGCUGGCUAGAGCCGUUGCAACAACUGCGUUCCUUGCACCUUAUCAAUUGCAGGAGUUUAUGCAUUCUUCCUCCAUUGGGAAAUUUGGGAUCACUCAGAUAUUUACACAUGAAGGAGCUGUGUGCAAUUGACCAGAUUGGACAAGAGUUUUAUGGCACAGGUGAUGUGGCAUUUCCAUCUCUAAGUGUCCUUGAAUUUGAUGAUUUCCCAAAGUUGCGUCAGUGGGCUGGCAUAGAAGACAAGAACUCAUUUCCAUGCCUUGAAAGUUUAAGUCUGAUUGAUUGUCCAGAAUUGAUCCAAAUUCCUUUGUUACCCCAAGCUACUCGUGAAGUUACCAUCGAACGUACAAGGUUGAUACCAUAUAUGAGGCUUGCGCCCUUGUCUUCAAGUUCAGAAAUGCUCCAGCUGGAUGUUUGCGCAAGUUCUGUCGUCCUCGAUAGACUACUCUACAGACAUAAUAUAGAGUCCAUUGCAGUGUUAAACAUAAGUGGGGCUGAACAGCUUGUUGCUUCUGGACAACUGGGGUCUCUUGUUUCUCUGCAAAGGCUUGAGCUCUCUCAGUGUGGUCUUACUGACCAGGCUUUAAGAAGCUUUCUCCAGGAUCUGCCUUGUUUGUCCUCUUUGGAGAUUAUAGACCUUCCUAACAUAACAUCGCUUCCUGUAUCGGGAACAGUCAAGUUCUGCACAAUGCUCACUGAGUUGUGCAUUCGCAACUGCCAGUCGCUUUGUUCUCUAUCCUCAUUGCAGUAUUUUGGUUCACUAAAAUAUCUGGUGGUCGAAAGAUGCCCUGAAGUAACUGCAACAUCUUUUCCGGUGAACCUUAUGAGCCUUGCAUAUCUGAAGGUGCUGAGAUUGUCAUACUGCACAGAGCUUCAAUCUUUACCAGCUCUGCCAUCCUCACUGGAAACACUUCAUAUCUUUGGGUGCCACCCAGCGUUGUCUAGGCAGUCAAGAAACAGGAAUGGGAAUUAUGUUGAGAAGCUUGCAGUUGCACCUAGCGUAUUGAUUCAGUGA